ACUCCUACGGGAGGCAGCAGUGGGGAAUUUUGGACAAUGGGCGCAAGCCUGAUCCAGCAAUGCCGCGUGAGUGAUGAAGGCCUUAGGGUUGUAAAGCUCUUUUACCAGGGAUGAUAAUGACAGUACCUGGAGAAUAAGCUCCGGCUAACUCCGUGCCAGCAGCCGCGGUAAUACGGAGGGAGCUAGCGUUGUUCGGAAUUACUGGGCGUAAAGAGUACGUAGGCGGUGAUUCAAGUCAGAGGUGAAAGCCUGGAGCUCAACUCCAGAACUGCCUUUGAAACUAGAUCGCUAGAAUUAUGGAGAGGUUAGUGGAAUUCCGAGUGUAGAGGUGAAAUUCGUAGAUAUUCGGAAGAACACCAGUGGCGAAGGCGACUAACUGGACAUAUAUUGACGCUGAGGUACGAAAGCGUGGGGAGCAAACAGGAUUAGAUACCCUGGUAGUCA
This 444-nucleotide ribosomal RNA is filed under the name uncultured bacterium. RNAcentral's name for it is "bacterial SSU rRNA". It matches the Rfam family "Bacterial small subunit ribosomal RNA", at positions 335 to 796 of the family's 1533-position model. The record is from RNAcentral.